AUUGAACGCUGGCGGCAGGCCUAACACAUGCAAGUCGAGCGGAUGAAGGGGGCUUGCUCCUGGAUUCAGCGGCGGACGGGCGAGUAAUGCCUAGGAAUCUGCCUGGUAGUGGGGGAUAACGUCCGGAAACGGGCGCUAAUACCGCAUACGUCCUGAGGGAGAAAGUGGGGGAUCUUCGGACCUCACGCCAUCAGAUGAGCCUAGGUCGGAUUAGCUAGUUGGUGGGGUAAAGGCCUACCAAGGCGACGAUCCGUAGCUGGUCUGAGAGGAUGAUCAGUCACACUGGAACUGAGACACGGUCCAGACUCCUACGGGAGGCAGCAGUGGGGAAUAUUGGACAAUGGGCGAAAGCCUGAUCCAGCCAUGCCGCGUGUGUGAAGAAGGUCUUCGGAUUGUAAAGCACUUUAAGUUGGGAGGAAGGGCAGUAAGUUAAUACCUUGCUGUUUUGACGUUACCAACAGAAUAAGCACCGGCUAACUUCGUG
RNAcentral lists this ribosomal RNA (484 nucleotides) under uncultured bacterium. RNAcentral describes it as "partial 16S ribosomal RNA". It matches the Rfam family "Bacterial small subunit ribosomal RNA", at positions 30 to 507 of the family's 1533-position model. The record is from RNAcentral.